UUGUCCCCCAGGCUGACCGACUCCCUUUCUUUCAUCGUACGGUCCUCAUGCCAAGGGUUGGCACGGAAGUUUGGUCUCAACUGUGUAUUGCUAAGAUGAAAGUGACAAAGCAGGACUGAUGAUCAAUGUCAUCUGGUCAUUUUCCAUCAUUUUAAUCAGUGCAACUGUUUUAAUGUGCCAAGGAUACAUUUGGUGGUGGAUGGGGACCACUGGAAUUGGAAGAGUGGAGUGCAAUGCCAUUAAAAGAGCGUGGUACCAAGGAUAUGAAUAGAUGGGAUGCUAUCAAACAUUAAUAGCAACUUCACUGAACAUACUGGAUUAUACACAAAACCUUGAACUGAAAGGGAAUGUGGAAUAUGUGGUCAGUGCAGGCAUCUGCUCCGUUCAUCUGCUACCUUUUGUUCUGCCAAUUGUUAAAUUACAUGAAUAGUGAAAAGUACCCCAUAUGUUAAUCAGAUAUGCCAGUUGAANAGCACUGAUUUGUGG
RNAcentral lists this long non-coding RNA (486 nucleotides) under Salvator merianae (Argentine black and white tegu). Its description in RNAcentral is "lncRNA (ENSSMRG00000015557.1)". Lineage: Eukaryota; Metazoa; Chordata; Lepidosauria; Squamata; Teiidae. The record is from RNAcentral.